GACGAACGCUGGCGGCGUGCUUAACACAUGCAAGUCGAGCGGUAAGGCCCUUUCGGGGGUACACGAGCGGCGAACGGGUGAGUAACACGUGAGUAACCUGCCCUCCACAUUGGGAUAACCCCGGGAACCGGGGCUAAUACCGAAUACCCACCACUACGGGGCGAUCCCGGGUGGAUGGAAAGCUCCGGCGGUGGAGGAUGGACUCGCGGCCUAUCAGCUUGUUGGUGAAGUAACGGCUCACCAAGGCGACGACGGGUAGCCGGCCUGAGAGGGUGACCGGCCACACUGGGACUGAGACACGGCCCAGACUCCUACGGGAGGCAGCAGUGGGGAAUAUUGGACAAUGGGCGAAAGCCUGAUCCAGCAACGCCGCGUGAGGGAUGACGGCCU
Molecule: ribosomal RNA, 390 nt
Filed under: uncultured bacterium
Lineage: Bacteria
Description: bacterial SSU rRNA
Rfam family: Bacterial small subunit ribosomal RNA
Source: RNAcentral